CUUGCGGCCAUAUCGCGUUGAAACACCGGCUCACGUACGAUUAGUGAAGUUAAGCAACCUCGAACCUGGUCAGUACCUAGAUGGGUAACCGCUUGGGAAUUCCAAGUGCUGUAA
Acanthosepion pharaonis is the source of this 114-nucleotide non-coding RNA. Lineage: Eukaryota; Metazoa; Mollusca; Cephalopoda; Sepiida; Sepiidae. The record is from the annotation of a GenBank genome assembly.